This 492-nucleotide ribosomal RNA is filed under the name Escherichia coli. RNAcentral describes it as "partial 23S ribosomal RNA". It matches the Rfam family "Bacterial large subunit ribosomal RNA", at positions 1 to 523 of the family's 2925-position model. Lineage: Bacteria; Pseudomonadati; Pseudomonadota; Gammaproteobacteria; Enterobacterales; Enterobacteriaceae. The record is from RNAcentral.
GGGUUGUGAGGUUAAGCGACUAAGCGUACACGGUGGAUGCCCUGGCAGUCAGAGGCGAUGAAGGACGUGCUAAUCUGCGAUAAGCGUCGGUAAGGUGAUAUGAACCGUUAUAACCGGCGAUUUCCGAAUGGGGAAACCCAGUGUGWUUCGWCACACUAUCAUUAACUGAAUCCAUAGGUUAAUGAGGCGAACCGGGGGAACUGAAACAUCUAAGUACCCCGAGGAAAAGAAAUCAACCGAGAUUCCCCCAGUAGCGGCGAGCGAACGGGGAGCAGCCCAGAGCCUGAAUCAGUGUGUGUGUUAGUGGAAGCGUCUGGAAAGGCGYGCGAUACAGGGUGACAGCCCCGUACACAAAAAUGCACAURCUGUGAGCUCGAUGAGUAGGGCGGGACACGUGGUAUCCUGUCUGAAUAUGGGGGGACCAUCCUCCAAGGCUAAAUACUCCUGACUGACCGAUAGUGAACCAGUACCGUGAGGGAAAGGCGAAAAGAA